GCGGGUGUAGUUCAAUGGUAGAACUUCAGCUUCCCAAGCUGAGAGCGCGGGUUCGAUUCCCGUCACCCGCUCCA
Molecule: transfer RNA, 74 nt
Filed under: Cellulomonas sp.
Lineage: Bacteria; Bacillati; Actinomycetota; Actinomycetes; Micrococcales; Cellulomonadaceae
Also listed under: 7 other names
Description: tRNA-Gly
Rfam family: tRNA
About the family: Transfer RNA (tRNA) molecules are approximately 80 nucleotides in length. Their secondary structure includes four short double-helical elements and three loops (D, anti-codon, and T loops).
Source: RNAcentral